This 409-nucleotide long non-coding RNA is filed under the name Trifolium pratense (red clover). RNAcentral's name for it is "long non-coding RNA (TPRA_LNC012794)". Lineage: Eukaryota; Viridiplantae; Streptophyta; Magnoliopsida; Fabales; Fabaceae. The record is from RNAcentral.
AGGCCUCAGUGACAGCAAUUUUUGCUAAUGUUUGUGAAGUGUGUGUAUCCAUGUAUUUGGUUGCGUUUUGGUUUGGAAUUAUUAUAUGUUUAAUAAUUGUGUUGUGGGAUGGCAUUUAUAUAAAAUGUCAAAGAAGUAUAUGUAUUUUGUAUAUCGGGUUGUCCGAUAAAGAAGAAUAUCAGUUUGUCUGAUAAAGAAGUUUAAUGGAUUAUGUUAUCCAUGUAGUGAGCAGUAGCUUCGUGCUAAGUGAUUAUCAUAUGUUUGGUAAAUGCAUAGCAUUCAUAAACUCAUGCAUUAUUUAGGGAUAUCAGACUUGUCUGAUAAAGAAGGAUAUUGGACUUGUCCAAUAAAGAAGAAUAUCAAUGGUAAGUUCCUUGAUAAAGAAGAUGGUACCACAUGCAUUAGUNNN